GCAAGUCGAGGGGUAACAGGGAGCUUGCUCCGCUGACGACCGGCGCACGGGUGCGUAACGCGUAUAGAACCUACCUUUUACAGAGGGAUAGCCUUUAGAAAUGAAGAUUAAUACCUCAUAGUAUUUUAGAUUGGCAUCAAUCAAAAAUUAAAGAUUUAUCGGUAAAAGAUGGCUAUGCGUCCUAUUAGCUAGAUGGUAAGGUAACGGCUUACCAUGGCAACGAUAGGUAGGGGUCCUGAGAGGGAGAUC
RNAcentral lists this ribosomal RNA (249 nucleotides) under uncultured bacterium. Its description in RNAcentral is "partial 16S ribosomal RNA". It matches the Rfam family "Bacterial small subunit ribosomal RNA", at positions 57 to 305 of the family's 1533-position model. The record is from RNAcentral.